This 135-nucleotide ribosomal RNA is filed under the name uncultured bacterium. Its description in RNAcentral is "partial 16S ribosomal RNA". It matches the Rfam family "Bacterial small subunit ribosomal RNA", at positions 397 to 524 of the family's 1533-position model. The record is from RNAcentral.
CCGCGUGUAUGAAGAAGGCCUUCGGGUUGUAAAGUACUUUCAGCGGGGAGGAAGGGAGUAAAGUUAAUACCUUUGCUCAUUGACGUUACCCGCAGAAGAAGCACCGGCUAACUCCGUGCCAGCAGCCGCGGUAAU